AGUGAACGCUGGCGGUAGGCCUAACACAUGCAAGUCGAACGGCAGCACAGAGGAGCUUGCUCCUUGGGUGGCGAGUGGCGGCCGGGUGAGGAAUACAUCGGAAUCUACUCUGUCGUGGGGGAUAACGUAGGGAAACUUACGAUAAUACCGCAUACGACCUACGGGUGAAAGCAGGGGACCUUCGGGCCUUGCGCGAUUGAAUGAGCCGAUGUCGGAUUAGCUAGUUGGCGGGGUAAAGGCCCACAAAGGCGACGAUCCGUAGCUGGUCUGAGAGGAUGAUCAGCCACACUGGAACUGAGACACGGUCCAGACUCCUACGGGAGGCAGCAGUGGGGAAUAUUGGACAAUGGGCGCAAGCCUGAUCCAGCCAUACCGCGUGGGUGAAGAAGGCCUUCGGGUUGUAAAGCCCUUUUGUUGGGAAAGAAAUCCAGCUGGCUAAUACCCGGUUGGGAUGACGGUACCCAAAGAAUAAGCACCGGCUAACUUCGUGCCAGCAGCCGCAGUAA
Molecule: ribosomal RNA, 506 nt
Filed under: uncultured bacterium
Lineage: Bacteria
Description: partial 16S ribosomal RNA
Rfam family: Bacterial small subunit ribosomal RNA
Source: RNAcentral